Molecule: non-coding RNA, 88 nt
Organism: Jatropha curcas
Lineage: Eukaryota; Viridiplantae; Streptophyta; Magnoliopsida; Malpighiales; Euphorbiaceae
Source: Rfam
GGGCACUGAUGAUCGAUAUUAUACCAUCAAACUAUGAAAGCUCAAAGUUGAGCUUGUUGAUGUAAUUAAUCGUAAUAACGCUGAGCCC